This 507-nucleotide long non-coding RNA is filed under the name Daucus carota (carrot). RNAcentral's name for it is "long non-coding RNA (DCAR_LNC004809)". Lineage: Eukaryota; Viridiplantae; Streptophyta; Magnoliopsida; Apiales; Apiaceae. The record is from RNAcentral.
CUAAGUCAAUUACUCUUCUAUUUACAAGUGUGGAGUGCCAAUGUGUGCAAGCAUGCUCUUAUAUUGAGACAAGACAAAAACUACUACUCCCACAGAAUCCCCAUCAAGAAUCAUAAAAGUUUAAAACUAACACCCCGUCACUCAAGUCCUACUAAAAGCCAAGGUCCCAAAGAAUGUUCACACCCUUCUAUUUUAUUCACUAUAUAAAAUUUUUUUUUCUUUUUAUUGGUGAUUAAUUGCUCGGUCUAAGGUCAGAGCGCUUCGCAGUGUAAAUGCGUUACGAACACCACAAGACUUCACACACCAAUCAUUCACUCUAUUCUAGUGGUUUAUUUAACCGUGCAAUGGUUGAGAUCCCUAAAGAUUUAUGCACUAGUACCCAUGUAGCGAGCGUUGGGUCAACAAUCCCAAACCACGAAGGGCUUUAGGUUGUUAGGCACAAAGUCCCCUCAGACUUAAUUACUCGAGUACUAAUGAGCUCAACCUAGUUAAUUCUACCACUUAUUU